UAUGUUUCCAUAAGAUAUCCUCUCAUCCUUCCCAAAUUCCAGUGAAUACAAGCCCAGUCGACCCAUUCUUUCAUCAUAUGUCAGUUUUGCCGCUCCGGGAACUAACCUGUUUCAUCUGCACUCACUCCAUC
Long non-coding RNA from Amblyraja radiata (thorny skate), 131 nucleotides. RefSeq lists it as uncharacterized. The record is from RefSeq and is a predicted model, not a curated record. The transcript is spliced from 3 exons. NCBI's taxonomy places the organism in Eukaryota, Metazoa, Chordata, Chondrichthyes, Rajiformes, Rajidae.